CCUGCCAGUAGUCAUAUGCUUGUCUUAAAGAUUAAGCCAUGCAUGUCUUAGUUUAAGUAACUUAAACGCGAAACUGCGAACGGCUCAUUAAAUCAGUUAUAAUCUACUCAGUCUUGUAACAGUUAGACGGAUAACUGUGGUAAUUCUAGAGCUAAUACGUGGGAGUAAGGUCCGACUUCUCGGAAGGGCCGCACUUGUCACAUACAAAACACCGCGCGUCGCAAGACGUUAGUGUUGAUUCAAGGCAAGUUAGCGAAGCGCAGUGAGCAUCGACUCGGCGCUGGACUGAUCGGGUUUCUGACCUAUCAACUUAUUCGUAGUGUAUUGGACUACGAAGGUGAUAACGGGUGACGGGGAAUUAGGGUUCGGUUCCGGAGAGGGAGCUUGAGAUAUGGCUACCACUUCCAAGGAAGGCAGCAGGCGCGCAAAUUACCCAAUGCCAAUACGGCGAGGUAGUGACAAUACAUAACGAUCUCAGUCUUCGGAUUGGGAAUCGGAAUGAGAACAUUGUAAACAACUUAGCGAGGAACAAUUAGAGGACAAGUCUGGUGCCAGCACCCGCGGUAAUUCCAGCUCUAAUAGCGUAUAUUAAAGUUGUUGCGGUUGAAAAGCUCGUAGUUGGAUUUCAAUCGUAGUUCGGGUACGAGUGAUGUGUCAUCUCUCCCAAAAAGAGAUCGGCACAGCUCGUAAGCCGGCUGCGGUUUACAAACGAUCACUCGUUACGUUCUGUUCUUAACUGAAUGGUUCGUGGCGAUGGUCCGUCUACCUUGAAUAAUUUAGAGUGCUCAAAGCAGGCAUUCACUUUGCUUCUGUAUAUAUUAGCAUGGGAUAGUAGAAUACGUUCCUAAUUGAGUUUGCGGGUUGGAGAGUUCUUGUCGGUCGGUUCGCCGAUCGACUCCUUUUCACUUGGUGCGCAAGCGCUAAGUCCUUGGUUGGGAAAAUGAUCAAUAGGGACUAUCGUGGUCAUUCAUAUUCAGUGGGGAGAGGUGAAAUUCUAAGAUCCAUUGAAGAUGCCCAGAUGCGAAAGCGUUUGACAAGGGUACUCCCAUUGAUCAAGAACGAAAGUUAAGGGAUCGAAGACGAUCAGAUACCGUCGUAGUCUUAACUAUAAACUAUACGAAUCAGCGAUCGGGAUGUGUUAGAUCGUUUAACUGCUUCGGCAGCUUGCGAGAAAUCAGAAUAUCUGCGUUCCGGGGGGAGUAUGGUCGCAAGGCUGAAACUUAAAGGAAUUGACGGAAGAGCACACCAGGAGUGGAGCCUGCGGC
This 1265-nucleotide ribosomal RNA is filed under the name uncultured soil eukaryote. Its description in RNAcentral is "SSU rRNA". It matches the Rfam family "Eukaryotic small subunit ribosomal RNA", at positions 13 to 1189 of the family's 1831-position model. The record is from RNAcentral.